This 570-nucleotide ribosomal RNA is filed under the name Colletotrichum sp. GM151. RNAcentral's name for it is "eukaryotic LSU rRNA". The stretch from base 214 to 367 matches the Rfam family "5.8S ribosomal RNA". The record is from RNAcentral. Lineage: Eukaryota; Fungi; Ascomycota; Sordariomycetes; Glomerellales; Glomerellaceae.
GUAACAAGGUCUCCGUUGGUGAACCAGCGGAGGGAUCAUUACUGAGUUUACGCUCUAUAACCCUUUGUGAACAUACCUAUAACUGUUGCUUCGGCGGGUAGGGUCUCCGUGACCCUCCCGGCCUCCCGCCCCCGGGCGGGUCGGCGCCCGCCGGAGGAUAACCAAACUCUGAUUUAACGACGUUUCUUCUGAGUGGUACAAGCAAAUAAUCAAAACUUUUAACAACGGAUCUCUUGGUUCUGGCAUCGAUGAAGAACGCAGCGAAAUGCGAUAAGUAAUGUGAAUUGCAGAAUUCAGUGAAUCAUCGAAUCUUUGAACGCACAUUGCGCCCGCCAGCAUUCUGGCGGGCAUGCCUGUUCGAGCGUCAUUUCAACCCUCAAGCUCUGCUUGGUGUUGGGGCCCUACAGCUGAUGUAGGCCCUCAAAGGUAGUGGCGGACCCUCCCGGAGCCUCCUUUGCGUAGUAACUUUACGUCUCGCACUGGGAUCCGGAGGGACUCUUGCCGUAAAACCCCCAAUUUUCCAAAGGUUGACCUCGGAUCAGGUAGGAAUACCCGCUGAACUUAAGCAUA